Molecule: ribosomal RNA, 303 nt
Filed under: uncultured bacterium
Lineage: Bacteria
Description: partial 16S ribosomal RNA
Rfam family: Bacterial small subunit ribosomal RNA
Source: RNAcentral
AGCAGCAGCCGCGGGAAUACAGAGGGUGCGAGCGUUAAUCGGAUUUACUGGGCGUAAAGCGUGCGUAGGCGGCUAAUUGAGUCGGAUGUGAAAUCCCCGAGCUUAACUUGGGAAUUGCAUUCGAUACUGGUUAGCUAGAGUGUGGGAGAGGAUGGUAGAAUUCCAGGUGUAGCGGUGAAAUGCGUAGAGAUCUGGAGGAAUACCGAUGGCGAAGGCAGCCAUCUGGCCUAACACUGACGCUGAGGUACGAAAGCAUGGGGAGCAAACAGGAUUAGAUACCCGAGUAGUCCCUGUCUCUUAUAC